GACGAACGCUGGCGGCGUGCUUAACACAUGCAAGUCGAACGAUGAUGCCCAGCUUGCUGGGUGGAUUAGUGGCGAACGGGUGAGUAACACGUGAGUAACCUGCCCCUGACUCUGGGAUAAGCGUUGGAAACGACGUCUAAUACUGGAUAUGAUCACUGGCCGCAUGGUCUGGUGGUGGAAAGAUUUUUUGGUUGGGGAUGGACUCGCGGCCUAUCAGCUUGUUGGUGAGGUAAUGGCUCACCAAGGCGACGACGGGUAGCCGGCCUGAGAGGGUGACCGGCCACACUGGGACUGAGACACGGCCCAGACUCCUACGGGAGGCAGCAGUGGGGAAUAUUGCACAAUGGGCGCAAGCCUGAUGCAGCAACGCCGCGUGAGGGAUGACGGCCUUCGGGUUGUAAACCUCUUUUAGUAGGGAAGAAGCGAAAGUGACGGUACCUGCAGAAAAAGCACCGGCUAACUACGUGCCAGCCGCCGCGGUAA
This 483-nucleotide ribosomal RNA is filed under the name uncultured bacterium. Its description in RNAcentral is "partial 16S ribosomal RNA". It matches the Rfam family "Bacterial small subunit ribosomal RNA", at positions 28 to 523 of the family's 1533-position model. The record is from RNAcentral.